AGGAAUAUUGGUCAAUGGGCGCGAGCCUGAACCAGCCAAGUAGCGUGAAGGAUGAAGGUCCUACGGAUUGUAAACUUCUUUUAUAAGGGAAUAAAGUCAUCUACGUGUAGGUGUUUGUAUGUACCUUAUGAAUAAGCAUCGGCUAACUCCGUGCCAGCAGCCGCGGUAAUACGGAGGAUGCGAGCGUUAUCCGGAUUUAUUGGGUUUAAAGGGAGCGUAGACGGGUCGUUAAGUCAGCUGUGAAAGUUUGGGGCUCAACCUUAAAAUUGCAGUUGAUACUGGCGUCCUUGAGUACGGUUGAGGCAGGCGGAAUCCGUGGUGUAGCGGUGAAAUGCUUAGAUAUCACGAAGAACCCCGAUUGCGAAGGCAGCCUGCUAAACCGCCACUGACGUUGAGGCUCGAAAGUGUGGGUAUCAAACAGGAUUAGAUACCCUGGUAGUCCACACGGUAAACGAUGGAUACUCGCUGUUGGCGAUAGACUGUCAGCGGCUUAGCGAAAGCGUUAAGUAUCCCACCUGGGGAGUACGCCGGCAACGGUGAAACUCAAAGGAAUUGACGGGGGCCCGCACAAGCGGAGGAACAUGUGGUUUAAUUCGAUGAUACGCGAGGAACCUUACCCGGGCUUGAAUUGCAGACGAAUUGCUUGGAAACAGGCAAGCCGCAAGGCGUCUGUGAAGGUGCUGCAUGGUUGUCGUCAGCUCGUGCCGUGAGGUGUCGGCUUAAGUGCCAUAACGAGCGCAACCCUCGUGUCCAGUUACUAGCAGGUUAUGCUGAGGACUCUGGACAGACUGCCAUCGUAAGAUGUGAGGAAGGUGGGGAUGACGUCAAAUCAGCACGGCCCUUACGUCCGGGGCUACACACGUGUUACAAUGGGGGGUACAGCAGGCAGCUACCGGGCGACCGGAUGCCAAUCCCGAAAGCCUCUCUCAGUUCGGACUGGAGUCUGCAACCCGACUCCACGAAGCUGGAUUCGCUAGUAAUCGCGCAUCAGCCACGGCGCGGUGAAUACGUUCCCG
RNAcentral lists this ribosomal RNA (1016 nucleotides) under uncultured bacterium. Its description in RNAcentral is "bacterial SSU rRNA". It matches the Rfam family "Bacterial small subunit ribosomal RNA", at positions 357 to 1376 of the family's 1533-position model. The record is from RNAcentral.